This 444-nucleotide ribosomal RNA is filed under the name uncultured bacterium. Its description in RNAcentral is "partial 16S ribosomal RNA". It matches the Rfam family "Bacterial small subunit ribosomal RNA", at positions 354 to 796 of the family's 1533-position model. The record is from RNAcentral.
GUAGGGAAUAUUGGGCAAUGGUCGGAAGACUGACCCAGCCAUGCCGCGUGCAGGAAGACGGCCCUCUGGGUUGUAAACUGCUUUUAUCUGGGAAAAAAAAGGCCAUGCGUGGCAAAUUGCCGGUACCAGAUGAAUAAGCACCGGCUAACUCCGUGCCAGCAGCCGCGGUAAUACGGAGGGUGCGAGCGUUGUCCGGAUUUAUUGGGUUUAAAGGGUGCGUAGGCGGCUGAUUAAGUCAGCGGUGAAAGACUUCGGCUUAACCGGAGCAGUGCCGUUGAUACUGGUUGGCUUGAGUGUCGGAGGGGUACAUGGAAUUGAUGGUGUAGCGGUGAAAUGCAUAGAUACCAUCAGGAACACCGAUAGCGAAGGCAUUGUACUGGCCGACAACUGACGCUGAUGCACGAAAGUGUGGGGAUCGAACAGGAUUAGAAACCCGUGUAGUCC